GAAGGUAGCAUAAUUAAUUGCCUUAUAAUUGAAGGCUUGUUUGAAUGGUUUAACGGGAUGAAUAUAAAUAUUACAUAUAUAGUUGAAUUUAUUAUUGAGGGCACAGAGACCUCAAAAUUUAAUUAGACGGAAAGACCCCGGGAUCUUUUAUUUUUGCCUGGGGCAGGUAUUAAUGUUUCAUUAGUAUUUUGACCCUUAAUGGUUUAUUGGGUUAAGUUACCCCGGGGAUAACAGUGUAAUAAUUAAUAAGAGAUCAUAUCGAAUUAAUUGAUUGCCACCUCGAUGUUGACUUAGGUAAAAAUGUAAACGCAGUAGUUUAUAAUUUGGGUCUGUUCGACCUUUGUUACCUCCAUGAGUUGAGUUAAGACCGGCGUGAGC
This 378-nucleotide ribosomal RNA is filed under the name Rodentolepis nana. RNAcentral's name for it is "partial large subunit ribosomal RNA". It matches the Rfam family "Archaeal large subunit ribosomal RNA", at positions 2029 to 2695 of the family's 2987-position model. Lineage: Eukaryota; Metazoa; Platyhelminthes; Cestoda; Cyclophyllidea; Hymenolepididae. The record is from RNAcentral.